Molecule: ribosomal RNA, 451 nt
Filed under: uncultured bacterium
Lineage: Bacteria
Description: bacterial SSU rRNA
Rfam family: Bacterial small subunit ribosomal RNA
Source: RNAcentral
GAUGAACGCUAGCGGCAGGCUUAAUACAUGCAAGUCGAGGGGCAGCACUGGUAGCAAUACCUGGUGGCGACCGGCAAACGGGUGCGGAACACGUACGCAACCUUCCCAGAACAGGUGAAUAGCCCUCCGAAAGGAGGAUUAAUACACCGUAAUAUAUAGAUGUGGCAUCACAUUUAUCUUAAAGUAGCAAUAUCGGUUUUGGAUGGGCGUGCGCCUGAUUAGGAGUUGGUGCGGGUAACGGCCCACCAAGCCUCCGAUCAGUAACUGGUGUGAGAGCACGACCAGUCACACGGGCACUGAGACACGGGCCCGACUCCUACGGAGGCAGCAGUAAGGAAUAUUGGUCAAUGGACGCAAGUCUGAACCAGCCAUGCCGCGUGAAGGAUGAAAGGGCCCUCUGGGUUGUAAACUUCUUUUAUCUGGGACGAAAAAGGGAAUUCUUUCUCACUUG